Molecule: ribosomal RNA, 505 nt
Filed under: uncultured bacterium
Lineage: Bacteria
Description: bacterial SSU rRNA
Rfam family: Bacterial small subunit ribosomal RNA
Source: RNAcentral
UCCUGGCUCAGGAUGAACGCUGGCGGCGUGCUUAAUACAUGCAAGUCGAACGAAGCACCUGCGACGGAUCCCUUCGGGGUGAAGAUGCUUGUGACUGAGUGGCGGACGGGUGAGUAACGCGUGGGUAACCUGCCUUAUGCAGGGGGACAACAGUUAGAAAUGACUGCUAAUACCGCAUAAGCGCACGAGACCGCAUGGUCAAGUGUGAAAAGAUUUAUCGGCAUAAGAUGGACCCGCGUCUGAUUAGGUAGUUGGUGAGGUAACGGCCCACCAAGCCGACGAUCAGUAGCCGACUUGAGAGAGUGAUCGGCCACAUUGGGACUGAGACACGGCCCAGACUCCUACGGGAGGCAGCAGUAGGGAAUAUUGCACAAUGGGGGAAACCCUGAUGCAAGCGACGCCGCGUGAGUGAUUGAAGUAUUUCGGUACGUAAAGCUCUAUCAGCAGGGAAGAUAAUGACGGUACCUGACUAAGAAGCCCCGGCUAACUACGUGCCAGCCGCGGC